Molecule: ribosomal RNA, 116 nt
Organism: Colletotrichum spaethianum
Lineage: Eukaryota; Fungi; Ascomycota; Sordariomycetes; Glomerellales; Glomerellaceae
Source: RefSeq, a predicted model, not a curated record
GGUACGCCGGCCAACCAUGUUGUAUAAAAGAUCCAUCUGUGGUUUUUUUUUUUUUUUUUGGGAAGCGGAGGAUUUUGGCAAGCGAAGCAUCUCGUUCGUGUACGAGUAACGUCAGC